This is a non-coding RNA of Angiostrongylus costaricensis, 46 nucleotides long. Lineage: Eukaryota; Metazoa; Nematoda; Chromadorea; Rhabditida; Metastrongylidae. The record is from Rfam.
CCAACGGCCCUCUUUAGGGCCACAACUGAAAGGUUUUGGAUACAUU